This 255-nucleotide ribosomal RNA is filed under the name uncultured bacterium. RNAcentral describes it as "partial 16S ribosomal RNA". It matches the Rfam family "Bacterial small subunit ribosomal RNA", at positions 524 to 777 of the family's 1533-position model. The record is from RNAcentral.
GACAGAGGUCCCGAGCGUUAGGCGGAAUCACUGGGCUUAAAGCGUGUGUAGGCGGCGGCCUAAGUACCUUGUGAAAUCCCACGGCUCACCCGUGGAACUGCUCGGUAUACUGGGUCGCUUGAGCCACUUAGGGGCUACCGGAACAAAAUGGUGGAGCGGUGAAAUGCGUAGAUAUCAUUUGGAACGCCAAUGGUGAAAACAGGUAGCUGGGAGUGUGCUGACGCUGAGACACGAAAGCCAGGGGAGCAAACGGGG